Molecule: ribosomal RNA, 435 nt
Filed under: uncultured bacterium
Lineage: Bacteria
Description: bacterial SSU rRNA
Rfam family: Bacterial small subunit ribosomal RNA
Source: RNAcentral
GAUGAACGCUAGCUACAGGCUUAACACAUGCAAGAUACCGAGUGGCGGACGGGUGAGUAACGCGUGGGUAACCUGCCUCAUACAGGGGGAUAACAGUUAGAAAUGACUGCUAAUACCGCAUAAGCGCACAGGGUCACAUGACCUGGUGUGAAAAACUCCGGUGGUAUGAGAUGGACCCGCGUCUGAUUAGCUAGUUGGCGAGGUAACGGCCCACCAAGGCGACGAUCAGUAGCCGACCUGAGAGGGUGAUCGGCCACAUUGGGACUGAGACACGGCCCAAACUCCUACGGGAGGCAGCAGUGGGGAAUAUUGCACAAUGGGGGAAACCCUGAUGCAGCGACGCCGCGUGAAGGAAGAAGUAUUUCGGUAUGUAAACUUCUAUCAGCAGGGAAGAAAAUGACGGUACCUGACUAAGAAGCCCCGGCUAACUACGUG